GCCUGGGUGGCUCAGUCGGUUAAGCGUCUGACUUCAGCUCAGGUCACAAUCUCACAGUUCGUGAGUUCGAGCCCCACAUCGGGCU
This 85-nucleotide transfer RNA is filed under the name Felis catus (domestic cat). It matches the Rfam family "tRNA". From Rfam's summary of the family: Transfer RNA (tRNA) molecules are approximately 80 nucleotides in length. Their secondary structure includes four short double-helical elements and three loops (D, anti-codon, and T loops). Further hydrogen bonds mediate the characteristic L-shaped molecular structure. tRNAs have two regions of fundamental functional importance: the anti-codon, which is responsible for specific mRNA codon recognition, and the 3' end, to which the tRNAs corresponding amino acid is attached (by aminoacyl-tRNA synthetases). tRNAs cope with the degeneracy of the genetic code in two manners: having more than one tRNA (with a specific anti-codon) for a particular amino acid; and 'wobble' base-pairing, i.e. permitting non-standard base-pairing at the 3rd anti-codon position. Lineage: Eukaryota; Metazoa; Chordata; Mammalia; Carnivora; Felidae. The record is from Rfam by way of RNAcentral.